RNAcentral lists this ribosomal RNA (253 nucleotides) under uncultured bacterium. RNAcentral's name for it is "partial 16S ribosomal RNA". It matches the Rfam family "Bacterial small subunit ribosomal RNA", at positions 524 to 776 of the family's 1533-position model. The record is from RNAcentral.
UACGAAGGUGGCAAGCGUUACUCGGAAUUACUAGGCGUAAAGGGCAGGUAGGUGGUUUGAUAAGUCUGUUGUGUCAGCUCCUGGCUUAACUGGGAGAGGUCAACGGAAACUAUCAGGCUAGAGUGUGGGAGAGGAUACUGGAAUUCCUGGUGUAGCGGUGAAAUGCGCAGAUAUCAGGAGGAACACCAAUGGCGAAAGCAAGUAUCUGGACCACUACUGACACUCAGCUGCGAAAGCUAGGGGAGCAAACAGG